UUUUAUCUCCAAAUCCAAGGUAUGGCUAUGGGGACCAGAUUUGCCCCAAGUUAUGCCAAUCUUUUUAUGUCCUCCUGGGAGGAGAAAUGUGUCUUCUCCAGGGAGGACAUUGGGGCAAGUCUGGUCCUAUAUAGAUGUUAUAUAGAUGAUAUCUUUAUAGUUUGGAAAGGGAGUAAGGAAACCCUAGAAGAAUUUAUUUUAUCUCUCAAUAAAAAUAUUUUUAAUAUUAGUCUAUCUUAUGAAAUUAGCCCUCAACAAAUUAACUUUUUAGAUUUAAAUAUAUAUGUAGAAAAUAAUCUAGUUAAAAGUAAGACUUUUUUUAAAAACAGUUGAUGUAAACAGUUUUAUUGAUUUAAGAAGUUGCCAUUUUAAACCAUGGUUGGAGAAUAUACCAAAAGGCCAGUUCUUAAGGAUGAAAAGAAAU
This is a non-coding RNA of Pelobates cultripes (western spadefoot toad), 424 nucleotides long. NCBI's taxonomy places the organism in Eukaryota, Metazoa, Chordata, Amphibia, Anura, Pelobatidae. The record is from the annotation of a GenBank genome assembly.